AUUAGAGGCUGCUGAGGAUGCAUUUCUGUGAUCUGUGAGCUGCGUUUGGGGGGGCACUGAUCCCUAGGGCAUCGUGACAAGGUCAACCUCGUUUCUUCUCUCUGUUCUUGGCAACAGCUAGUCUAGCCAGAAAGAGCAAUCUGUCAGAUCUAAUUAGAGUGGAAGAAAGUGAACAAUGGGCGCCCAGCUCUGAGAUGACAGCCCAGCCUAAUGAGAACUCUCCAGGUCCCUGAACUUUUUAACUCAUACACAUCCAGCAAAAGCAGAGGAGAACCUGGCUCUGUUUCAAAGGAAAGCUAAAGAAGAUGCUCAGACAACCGAGAAAACAUGAGAAAGAAAAGUCCACUACUGCAGUGAAUGGG
Long non-coding RNA from Chinchilla lanigera (long-tailed chinchilla), 362 nucleotides. RefSeq lists it as uncharacterized. The transcript has 3 exons. The record is from RefSeq and is a predicted model, not a curated record. Lineage: Eukaryota; Metazoa; Chordata; Mammalia; Rodentia; Chinchillidae.